AACAGGAUUAGAUACCCUGGUAGUCCACGCUGUAAACGAUGUCGACUUGGAGGUUGUGCCCUUGAGGCGUGGCUUCCGGAGCUAACGCGUUAAGUCGACCGCCUGGGGAGUACGGCCGCAAGGUUAAAACUCAAAUGAAUUGACGGGGGCCCGCACAAGCGGUGGAGCAUGUGGUUUAAUUCGAUGCAACGCGAAGAACCUUACCUACUCUUGACAUCCAGAGAAUUUGCUAGAGAUAGCUUAGUGCCUUCGGGAACUCUGAGACAGGUGCUGCAUGGCUGUCGUCAGCUCGUGUUGUGAAAUGUUGGGUUAAGUCCCGCAACGAGCGCAACCCUUAUCCUUUGUUGCCAGCACGUAAUGGUGGGAACUCAAAGGAGACUGCCGGUGAUAAACCGGAGGAAGGUGGGGAUGACGUCAAGUCAUCAUGGCCCUUACGAGUAGGGCUACACACGUGCUACAAUGGCAUAUACAAAGAGAAGCGAACUCGCGAGAGCAAGCGGACCUCAUAAAGUAUGUCGUAGUCCGGAUUGGAGUCUGCAACUCGACUCCAUGAAGCCGGAAUCGCUAGUAAUCGUAGAUCAGAAUGCUACGGUGAAUACGUUCCCGGGCCUUGUACACACCGCCCGUCACACCAUGGGAGUGGGUUGCAAAAGAAGUAGGUAGCUUAACCUUCGGGAGGGCGCUUACCACUUUGUGAUUCAUGACUGGGGUGAAGUCGUAACAAGGUAACC
RNAcentral lists this ribosomal RNA (731 nucleotides) under uncultured bacterium. Its description in RNAcentral is "bacterial SSU rRNA". It matches the Rfam family "Bacterial small subunit ribosomal RNA", at positions 771 to 1501 of the family's 1533-position model. The record is from RNAcentral.